RNAcentral lists this ribosomal RNA (253 nucleotides) under uncultured bacterium. Its description in RNAcentral is "partial 16S ribosomal RNA". It matches the Rfam family "Bacterial small subunit ribosomal RNA", at positions 524 to 776 of the family's 1533-position model. The record is from RNAcentral.
UACGUAGGGUGCAAGCGUUGUCCGGAAUUAUUGGGCGUAAAGAGCUCGUAGGCGGUCUGUCACGUCGGCUGUGAAAACCCGGGGCUCAACCCCGGGCCUGCAGUCGAUACGGGCAGACUAGAGUGCGGUAGGGGAGACUGGAAUUCCUGGUGUAGCGGUGAAAUGCGCAGAUAUCAGGAGGAACACCGAUGGCGAAGGCAGGUCUCUGGGCAUUAACUGACGCUGAGGAGCGAAAGCAUGGGGAGCGAACAGG